RNAcentral lists this ribosomal RNA (182 nucleotides) under Gulbenkiania mobilis. RNAcentral describes it as "partial 16S rRNA. Bacterial SSU". It matches the Rfam family "Bacterial small subunit ribosomal RNA", at positions 1 to 180 of the family's 1533-position model. Lineage: Bacteria; Pseudomonadati; Pseudomonadota; Betaproteobacteria; Neisseriales; Chromobacteriaceae. The record is from RNAcentral.
UUGAACUGAAGAGUUUGAUCCUGGCUCAGAUUGAACGCUGGCGGCAUGCUUUACACAUGCAAGUCGGACGGCAGCGGGGGCUUCGGCCUGCCGGCGAGUGGCGAACGGGUGAGUAAAGCGUCGGAACGUACCGAGUAAUGGGGGAUAACUGUCCGAAAGGACAGCUAAUACCGCAUACGCUC